AACGAACGCUGGCGGCAUGCCUAACACAUGCAAGUCGAACGGGACAUUCGGGUCUAGUGGCGCACGGGUGCGUAACGCGGGGGAAUCUGCCCUUGGGUUGGGAAUGACGGAGAGAAUUUUCAGCUAAUACCGGAUAAUGUCUUCGGACCAAAGAUUUAUCGCCGGGGGAUGAGCCCGCGUAGGAUUAGGUAGUUGGUGGGGUAAUGGCCUACCAAGCCGACGAUCCUUAGCUGGUCGGAGAGGAUGAUCCGCCACACUGGGACUGAGACACGGCCCAGACUCCUACGGGAGGCAGCAGUGGGGAAUCUUGGACAAUGGGCGGAAGCCUGAUCCAGCAAUGCCGCGUGAGUGAUGAAGGCCUUAGGGUUGUAAAGCUCGUUUACCCGGGAUGAUAAUGACAGUACCGGGAGAAUAAGCUCCGGCUAACCCCGUG
This 433-nucleotide ribosomal RNA is filed under the name uncultured bacterium. Its description in RNAcentral is "partial 16S ribosomal RNA". It matches the Rfam family "Bacterial small subunit ribosomal RNA", at positions 29 to 507 of the family's 1533-position model. The record is from RNAcentral.